CCUACGGGAGGCAGCAGUGGGGAAUAUUGGGCAAUGGAGGCAACUCUGACCCAGCAACGCCGCGUGAAUGAUGAAGGUCUUCGGAUUGUAAAGUUCUUUUCUAAGGGAAGAAGCAAGUGACGGUACCUUAUGAAUAAGCCUCGGCUAACUACGUGCCAGCAGCCGCGGUAAUACGUAGGAGGCAAGCGUUAUCCGGAAUGAUUGGGCGUAAAGGGUGCGUAGGUGGGUUGACAAGUUAGUAGCGCAACUCCGGGGCUCAACUUCGGAACUACUACUAAAACUGUUGGACUUGAGUGCAGGAGAGGCAAUCGGAAUUCCUAGUGUAGCGGUGGAAUGCGUAGAUAUUAGGAGGAACACCAGUGGCGAAGGCGGAUUGCUAGACUGUAACUGACAUUGAUGCUCGAAAGUGUGGGUAUCAAACAGGAUUAGAUACCCGUGUAGUC
This 443-nucleotide ribosomal RNA is filed under the name uncultured bacterium. RNAcentral's name for it is "partial 16S ribosomal RNA". It matches the Rfam family "Bacterial small subunit ribosomal RNA", at positions 338 to 795 of the family's 1533-position model. The record is from RNAcentral.